UACGGAGGAUCCAAGCGUUAUCCGGAUUUAUUGGGUUUAAAGGGUGCGUAGGUGGCUUGUUAAGUCAGGGGUGAAAGACGGUGGCUCAACUAUCGCAGUGCCUUUGAUACUGAUGGGCUUGAAUACACUUGAGGUAGGCGGAAUGUGACAAGUAGCGGUGAAAUGCGUAGAUAUGUCGCAGAACACCAGUUGCGAAGGCAGCUUACUAAAGUGUGAUUGACACUGAGGCGCGAAAGCGUGGGGAUCAAACAGG
This 253-nucleotide ribosomal RNA is filed under the name uncultured bacterium. RNAcentral's name for it is "partial 16S ribosomal RNA". It matches the Rfam family "Bacterial small subunit ribosomal RNA", at positions 524 to 776 of the family's 1533-position model. The record is from RNAcentral.